UACAGAGGAGCCAAGCGUUGUCCGGAUUGACUGGGCGUAAAGCGCACGCAGGCGGAUGCGCGCGUGGGGUGUGAAAUCUGGCCGCUUAACGGCCAGGCGCCAUCCCAUACGGCGCGUCUGGAGUGAUGCAGAGGUCGAUGGAAUUGCCGGUGUAGUGGUGAAAUGCGUAGAGAUCGGCAGGAACACCCAGGGGGAAACCAGCGGACUGGGCAUCAGCUGACGCUCAGGUGCGACAGCGUGGGGAGCGAACCGG
This 253-nucleotide ribosomal RNA is filed under the name uncultured bacterium. RNAcentral describes it as "partial 16S ribosomal RNA". It matches the Rfam family "Bacterial small subunit ribosomal RNA", at positions 524 to 776 of the family's 1533-position model. The record is from RNAcentral.